ACGAGCAAUUAGAGCUGAAAAAUGGAACCGGAAAUAUAUUUUCCGCUGUUUGAGACAACGAGAGCAAAGGGAAGAUUCCUAUACAGAUUAUUUGCAGUGUCUGUUUUUGUUGGUAUAUGUUUGAUAUGGGUAUAUAGAGCGACUCACAUACCAAAAGCUGGAGAAGAUGGAAGAUUUGGCUGGAUGUGCUUGUUCGCUGCCGAGUUAUGGUUCAGUUUUUACUGGUUCGUCACUCAGGCCGCUCGGUGGAGCCUCGUCUACAGGCACACCUUCAAGGACAGGCUUUCUCAAAGAUAUGAGAAAGAGUUGCCGGGGGUGGACAUAUUCGUGUGCACAGCUGAUCCGAUCAUAGAGCCGCCGAUGAAGGUGAUGAACACUGUCUUGUCCGUCAUGGCUUACGACUACCCACCGGAGAAGCUCAGCGUGUAUCUCUCCGAUGAUGGCGGCUCAGAGCUAACGUACUAUGCUCUACUGGAAGCAGCUGAGUUUGCUAAGCACUGGAUACCCUAUUGCAAGAAGUACAGUGUGGAACCAAGGUCGCCGGCUGCUUAUUUCAAUCAGGCUGGUGAUUUGGCUCUCAUCAAGAAACUAUACGAGGACAUGGCAACAAAAAUUGAAAAUGCAGUGAAGCUAGGCCGGAUUCCGGAAGAAGUAAGAUCAAAACGUAAUGGUUUUUCUCAGUGGGACUCAUAUUCAUCAAAACGUGACCAUGACACAAUUCUUCAAGUACUAAUUGAUGGGAGAGACCCAAAUGCAAGAGAUGUCGAAGGGCGUGUGUUGCCAACUUUGGUGUAUUUAGCUCGCGAGAAGAGACCCCAAUUUCACCAUAACUUCAAAGCUGGCGCUAUGAAUGCACUGAUUAGGGUAUCAUCGAGCAUUAGCAAUGGGAAGUUACUUCUUAAUGUAGACUGUGACAUGUAUUCGAACAACUCCAUGGCCAUAAGGGACGCACUUUGCUUCUUGAUGGAUGAAGAACAAGGCCAUGAGAUUGCAUACGUACAGUUCCCGCAGAAUUUCGACAACCUUACUAAGAAUGAAUUAUACGCUUCAUUACGAGUUCUUAAUGAGGUGGAAGGCCAUGGUCUGGAUAAUUAUGGGGGGAUGUUAUAUAUUGGAAGUGGCUGCUUUCACAGAAGAGAAACUCUUUGUGGGAAGAAAUGUAUCGAGGGAUGUAAGAGUGAAAUGAUGAAAUGGGAUAAAGAAAGAAGAGAAGAAAUCGCCAUUCAUGAAUUAGAAGAAACAUCAAAGAGUCUUGCAAGUUGUACAUUUGAAGAGAACACUAUAUGGGGAAAAGAGAUGGGAUUGAAAUAUGGGAGUCCCGUCGAAGAUGUGAUAACGGGGUUAUCGAUCCAAUGCCGAGGAUGGAAAUCAGUGCAUUGCAAUCCAACAAGAAAAGCUUUCUUAGGAUUAGCUCCAACCACAUUGCUUCAUGCACUUGUGAUGCAUAAGAGAUGGUCUGAGGGGAACCUUCAGAUUACUCUCUCUAAGUUCAAUGUCUUAUGGUAUGGCCACGGAAAGAUUAGUUUAGGCCAUCAACUUGGAUACCUUCGCUACAACCUAUGGGCAGCUAAUUGUUGGGCAACACUAAUCUACUCGAUUCUCCCUUCACUUAGCCUCCUUAGAGGCACAUCCUUGUUUCCUCAGAUUUCAAGCCGAUGGAUCAUACCAUUUGCGUAUGUUAUAAUUGACUAAGAACAGUUGGGAGCUUCGUGGAGUAUCGGUGGUGUGGAGGAACGAGCUUAGGUUGGUGGAACGAACAACGUAUAUGGCUUUACCAGAGAACAACCUCCUAUCUCUUUGCCUUCAUCGACACCAUUGUACACAACCUUGGAUACACUGAUUCAGGAUUUGUAAUAACAGUGAAGGUGUCCGAUGAAGAUGUGUCCGAACGAUACGAGAAAGAGAUCAUGGAAUUCGGGAGCUCGUCUCCAAUGUUCGUCGUGCUUGCAACACUUGCAUUGCUCAAUUUAUACUGCUUUGCCUGGUUUGUGAAGGAAGCAAUCACUGGAACAAAGGGCAUUGCAGAAGUUUAUGAGGCAAUGUUCUUGCAGAUUCUUCUAUGUGUGGUUUUGAUUGUCAUUAACCAACCGUUAUACGAAGCGCUAUACCUAAGGAUGGACAAGGGGAAGCUGCCGAGCUCUGUAGCAAUUAGGUCAAUGGCAUUUGCUGGAUUUGCUUGUUUAUGUUUCAAAUUUAUGUAAUGAACAUUUGGAAAAUAUAAUCUAGCUCUCUAUGUUUUGUAUCC
RNA transcript from Fragaria vesca subsp. vesca, 2245 nucleotides. It is a transcript of the gene named cellulose synthase-like protein E1-like, with no coding region annotated. NCBI's taxonomy places the organism in Eukaryota, Viridiplantae, Streptophyta, Magnoliopsida, Rosales, Rosaceae. The record is from RefSeq and is a predicted model, not a curated record. The transcript is spliced from 9 exons.